UACAAAGACAGACAGAGCAUGACCUUGCGUCACUGUAAAUGUACACAUGACUUGUUAGCUGUAAUGGCACAUCGGCAUGACUCAAUCACACCACUUACCAAGGAACCAUAUUUGCUGUUAACGUAAUCACACGUGCCUCUCUGACGAAACCAGAUGUUACACCCGGCAAAACACUCGCUGUGUUACCUGUGAUGGCGUGACGCUUUCACACAGCAUGGAGUUUCAGUUUAAUGGCUUGCUGAGAAGCUAACGUUACCUGGCUCAUUCUCCUGAGUUGAACACGGAAUAGCACAUGACUUGAACAACAUUACACCCAUCGAUACAAUGUUGAGAUAAAAAAAAAAUGCUAGUUCCAAAAUGUCUGACAAAUUAAUCGCUGGCUAACGUUUAGGUAAACGUGCGUUGGCUAAUUAGCAUAUCUUGCUAACACUAGCCAAAGACAGCGCUGCGAUAACGCGUCCGAAAGACACAAACAUUGUCCAUUCUGUCAAAUAAAGUAAAAUAAGAGACUGGGGAUAGAUGUGACUACAGCUGAUUAUACAUAGCAGACGUGUAACCUUAGAGGCAUAACUAGGCAAGCCCACAAGGGUAUGGUCAUAUCGGCACACUGUGGAUCGCCAGCUAGCCAAUGCUAGCAGAGACUGGAUUUCUCAGUGUAACUUGAUGUUUAGCAUUAACAUUAUGUGUCGUACGCUGGCUCGAAAAACAGUCAGGCACCACCGCAAUGAUGCCAGGAAAACAUAACCCCCCGUACUCUCAUUGGUAAAUGUGAACACUGCUGUCCGGCCGAACUGAAACAGGAGAUCUGACAGUGGGACUGAACUGAUCCCAGAUUCAGGCUGACUUUAGGGUGCCAACAUCACUGCAGAUGACAACUAGACUCUGUCACUGAGAAAUAAAGGCAAUCACAUGGAAAUGGAGAGCAGUAUGUCCACAGGGCUCCUGGGAUUACGAGCAUGUGUCAAAGAGGAGCACAUCACCAGAGUCUGAUAUGUGUGGCCAUGAGUAUGUGAAGGUAAUGUAUUUUAAGAGGAUGCCUUGAGCUUUAGACGGGACAAAUGCAUCAUGACAGCAAAGGGUGAGUGGAGUUUGUGUGAGAGUGAGUGACAGGCAGGACAUGCUGCAAAGAUUCGCUUCUUUAACGGCCCUCAGUUCAGAAGAUCUGCACUAUUUUUAUGCAUUUUGUUCAGAGAUUUUCCAAUAGAUUUGAUACUAUUAAAAAAUUAUUCGUUCCGCAUUAAGUGGAUCAUUCUUAAAGCAUUCAGGCAUUUGAU
This is a long non-coding RNA of Acanthopagrus latus (yellowfin seabream), 1274 nucleotides long. RefSeq lists it as uncharacterized. Lineage: Eukaryota; Metazoa; Chordata; Actinopteri; Spariformes; Sparidae. The record is from RefSeq and is a predicted model, not a curated record. The transcript has 4 exons.